CCUACGGGAGGCAGCAGUGGGGAAUAUUGCACAAUGGGGGAAACCCUGAUGCAGCGACGCCGCGUGAGUGAAGAAGUAAUUCGUUAUGUAAAGCUCUAUCAGCAGGGAAGAAAAUGACGGUACCUGAGUAAGAAGCCCCGGCUAACUACGUGCCAGCAGCCGCGGUAAUACUUAGGGGGCAAGCGUUAUCCGGAUUUACUGGGUGUAAAGGGAGCGUAGACGGCAGUGCAAGGCUGGAGGGAAAGGGGGGGGCUCAACCCCCGGACUGCUCUGGAAACUGGACGGCUGGAGUGCAGGAGAGGUAAGUGGAAUUCCUAGUGUAGCGGUGAAAUGCGUAGAUAUUAGGAGGAACACCAGUGGCGAAGGCGGCUUACUGGACUGUAACUGACGUUGAGGCUCGAAAGCGUGGGGAGCAAACAGGAUUAGAUACCCGAGUAGUC
Molecule: ribosomal RNA, 440 nt
Filed under: uncultured bacterium
Lineage: Bacteria
Description: partial 16S ribosomal RNA
Rfam family: Bacterial small subunit ribosomal RNA
Source: RNAcentral